GUUAUCCCGAGUGUAAUCAAAUGACGACGUAUCUGCGAAUCACGCGCUUGGCAUUUGUAUUUUACGAUAUUUAUUAUGCACACUCAUUUACCUAUACAUAAACAUCGUCAUUUUAUAAUAUGCAACGACGUCAAUAGACAGCGGUGGUUGGAGUCGCCGUUUGGAGACAACCAGAGAUUCUGGAAUAUGAACUGCUGUUUUCACAAACCUCACAUGAUCUGGGAAAUUUUCACACUGAAAACAACACUGUCCACCUGACAAUAUGAGAGUAUACUGAAAAAUAAUACUCGUCGACGUUGGCAUAGUUCGAUACCUAACCGUAUGGAUUAAUAGUGGAUUUUUAGAGUAAUUGCUGCACAUAUAUAUAUGUGAUAUUAAGACAAAAAUAGUAUAGCCAUACAGGGUUGCUUCACCACUGCAUUUGGUAGUAUUUUACGACACACGACGUAUGUUCUAAGAAUAUUGUACAUGAACAUAAUAAAUGCCGAAUCUCGCAAAUGGAAUAAAUUUGAUAGGUUAUGAACAGAUUAGAAUCAGAUUACAUUAAUACCAUCACUACCCUGUUAACUAUAUACUUAUGAAUAUAAAACGAGUAUCCAAUAGAUCACAACAUUUUUCACUGAAGCAUAUUUAGUGGAAAUCGCCGGAUGCGACAUAAAGUCAAGGUGCACGCAACUGCUUUCGAAAUAUCGUGGGAUAUUUUACGGCUCAACACUCGUGUGUUGUGCUUUAUUCAUUUUAAUGUAUUGUAACAAUAUGCGCCGUAAAAUUACAGUGCGGAAUAAAUGCCGCGUGUUAAAAAAACGCCCAUGUAUUCCCAGCCUUAUACCAAUGAUGUAAAUAUUAAAUGUAUAUUUUGUGUAAAACGUAUAAGUAAACUUGGAAUAUUUUAGGUAGGUAUUUUUCUUAGUUGAUUUCAACCACGUAGUAGUACAAAACUUAAAUAGUUAAAUCGCAUUCUCUUCGUCAUACUUACAUGACUUGAGCCAAACACUUCAUCAC
Aphis gossypii (cotton aphid) is the source of this 1002-nucleotide long non-coding RNA. RefSeq lists it as uncharacterized. Lineage: Eukaryota; Metazoa; Arthropoda; Insecta; Hemiptera; Aphididae. The transcript has 5 exons. The record is from RefSeq and is a predicted model, not a curated record.